CGAACGGGUGAGUAACGCGUGAGGAACCUGCCUCAAAGAGGGGGACAACAGUUGGAAACGACUGCUAAUACCGCAUAAGCCCACGGCUCGGCAUCGAGCAGAGGGAAAAGGAGUGAUCCGCUUUGAGAUGGCCUCGCGUCCGAUUAGCUAGUUGGUGAGGUAACGGCCCACCAAGGCGACGAUCGGUAGCCGGACUGGGAGGUUGAACGGCCACACUGGAACUGAGACACGGUCCAG
This 237-nucleotide ribosomal RNA is filed under the name uncultured bacterium. Its description in RNAcentral is "partial 16S ribosomal RNA". It matches the Rfam family "Bacterial small subunit ribosomal RNA", at positions 99 to 334 of the family's 1533-position model. The record is from RNAcentral.